Gymnodraco acuticeps is the source of this 627-nucleotide long non-coding RNA. RefSeq lists it as uncharacterized. The transcript has 4 exons. The record is from RefSeq and is a predicted model, not a curated record. NCBI's taxonomy places the organism in Eukaryota, Metazoa, Chordata, Actinopteri, Perciformes, Bathydraconidae.
ACCCAGUCAGAAGAGAUGAGGGUCCCUCCACAGACGUGCCUCCAGCGCCCACUGCCGUCCGACUGAAGAGAGAUCUGAGCACAGCAGAGAGAGGGGACAAGGCCAGCUGUGAGGCCUGACGUCCUCUCCUGCCACCACCCUGCUCAGCACAGGGGGGAAGGUGGGGAGGCCACAUCCGUAUGCUGGGACAAGUGGGAGUGUCGGAGCUUACAGAGCUGAUCCAGUCGAUGUAGGAGCUGACUCGGGUGAACACGGUGGGCUUUUUGGGGAAAUUGCAGCUGAGCCCGGAUCCGAAGCUGACGAUGCCCUGGACCUCCCAGGCUCCAUCAGUCCUCCUGCAGUUCAGAGGGCCGCCGGAGUCCCCCUGAGUCAUCCAGACACAACUCCAUCUCCACCGGCACACACCAUGGUCUCCUUCACCUGAGCCCCCCACCAAUCAGACUUGGUGCAGGUGGCGUGGUCCACCACAGGCAGGAGGGCCUGCUGCAGGAUAUCAGCGAUGGGACCCCCGGCUGUGAGGGGCAGAGAUGCUCAAUACCUCAACUUCAGCUCAGGUUAAACACUGGUGAGAAACUUUGGGCAAACAAAUCAUUUCUCUCCACCGUUUAACCGUGGAUACAAAUAAAU